GGGGGAUAACCUGGGGAAACCCAGGCUAAUACCGCAUACGUCCUACGGGAGAAAGCGGGGGCUCUUCGGMCCUUAUAGAUGGACCCGCGCCGUAUUAGCUAGUUGGUAAGGUAACGGCUUACCAAGGCAACGAUACGUAGCCGACCUGAGAGGGUGAUCGGCCACACUGGAACUGAGACACGGUCCAGACUCCUACGGGAGGCAGCAGUAGGGAAUCUUCCGCAAUGGGCGAAAGCCUGACGGAGCAACGCCGCGUGAGUGAUGAAGGUCUUCGGAUCGUAAAACUCUGUUAUUAGGGAAGAACAAAUGUGUAAGUAACUAUGCACGUACUUGACGGUACCUAAAUCAGAAAGCCACGGCUAACUACGGUGCCAGCAGCCGCGGUAAUACGUAGGGGCAAGCGUUAUCCGGAAUUAUUGGGCGUAAAGCGCGCGUAGGCGGUUUCUUAAGUCUGAUGUGAAAGCCCACGGCUUCAACCGUGGAGGGUCAUUGGAAACUGGGAAACUUGAGUGCAGAAGAGGAAAGUGGAAUUCCAUGUGUAGCGGUGAAAUGCGCAGAGAUAUGGAGGAACACCAGUGGCGAAGGCGACUUUCUGGUCUGUAACUGACGCUGAUGUGCGAAAGCGUGGGGAUCAAACAGGAUUAGAUACCCUGGUAGUCCACGCCGUAAACGAUGWSKRCUARSYGUUAGGGKSYYUYSRSSMCUUAGUGSYGCAGYUAACGCRWUAAGYMSWCCGCCUGGGGAGUACGRCCGCAAGGUURAAACUCAAAKGAAUUGACGGGGRCCCGCACAAGCGGUGGAGCAUGUGGUUUAAUUCGAWGCAACGCGAAGAACCUUACCWAMYCUUGACAUCCUKYGAMMMCKSWAGAGAUWSMGSSKUCSCCUUCGGGRGACRMAGWGACAGGUGSUGCAUGGCUGUCGUCAGCUCGUGUUGUGAAAUGUUGGGUUAAGUCCCGUAACGAGCGCAACCCUUGUCCCUAUUUGCCAGCGAUUCGGUCGGGAACUCUAGGGAGACUGCCGGUGACAAACCGGAGGAAAGGUGGGGACCGACGUUCAAAGGUCAUCAUGGGCCCCUUAACGGGGUAGGGGCUACAACCACCGUGCUACAAUGGGCCCGGUACAAAGGGGUUUGCGAAAG
RNAcentral lists this ribosomal RNA (1138 nucleotides) under Marinomonas sp. 01. RNAcentral describes it as "partial 16S ribosomal RNA". It matches the Rfam family "Bacterial small subunit ribosomal RNA", at positions 138 to 1266 of the family's 1533-position model. Lineage: Bacteria; Pseudomonadati; Pseudomonadota; Gammaproteobacteria; Oceanospirillales; Oceanospirillaceae. The record is from RNAcentral.